UCUCUCUCUCUCUCUCUCUCUCUCUCUUCUUUCUCUCCUUCCCCUCUUCUCUGUUAUUUUCUCAUCCCCACUCUUCGUCUCGAUCUCACCUCCUCUUGAUCUCACUUCGAUCUCACUCGGGGAGCGGCCGCACCGUAGCACCCAGCAGCCAAGCCGUCCGCGCCCUCGCAAUUUUUGGAGGAAGCCGUCCACGCCCUCGCAAUUUUUGGAGCAAGCCGAACCCACGCGUAAUUCCUCGAAGCCGUCCACGCCCUCGCAAUUUUUGGAGCAAGCCAAACCCACGCAUUAUCUCUAUAAUGGAGAGGAAGAUUACUGGAAAUGCUCAAUCGUCUGUAGUUAUAUGUUAUUGUGGAAAGCCAGCUAAAAUUAGAACCUCUCAUACACAUGCAAAUCCAGGUCGGCGCUUCUAUGGCUGCCCCAACUAUACUAAGCGAACAGAUGGACGCUACAACAAUAAUUUUUGUUCAUUCUUUAAGUGGUGUGACAUGGAGCACAAUAUUUCAGAAACAGACAUUUCUAAAUUGUCCUUCUUUGGAAGCUCACCCAAUGGGACGCAAACUAUUGAAUCGUCGAAUAAUAAAAUUAGUUGUUCACCAAGAAAUGAGAUAGAGGAAAUGCGAGUUGAGAUGAGGAUAUUUUCAUUUUAGUAAUUGUAUUACUUUUUGUAAUUUUUGUAAUGUUGCUACCGUGAAUGAAGUGUGUUUUCAAGAAAACUCUUGGCAAGUUACUCAAUUACAACGCUCAAGGGUUUUUGGUUGUUGGCGAAGUUUCUUAUUGGUUGCACGGAAGUGUUAUUUAUCUAUUUGCAUUCUGGAAAUGGAGAUUGAUGUUUGUGUAUUGUUUUGUUAA
Molecule: long non-coding RNA, 849 nt
Organism: Ananas comosus (pineapple)
Lineage: Eukaryota; Viridiplantae; Streptophyta; Magnoliopsida; Poales; Bromeliaceae
Exons: 2
Source: RefSeq, a predicted model, not a curated record